AAAACUCUAUGCUCUCAGGGUAGUGAGAGCAACGGAGGCACGGAGGAGAGCCACAAUGGAUAAACUAACGGGCUACGGUAGGACCGCGCUUUGAUUUAUAAUCCGUAGAGAGAUACCAUCUCGUUUGCCAUCCACGAGAGACAAGUGAAAUAACGGUUAAGGGAUCUCACAACCUCGGAAAUAGACCACCAAUUCGACAUGGAUCCGUUGAGCAUCGACAGCGCCUUUUAGAAACCGGCUGCCUCCGCCUGCUUCAAAGGCGGAUUUGGGAUGAGAAGCGUUUAUCGUUUUCUGUACUGUCCUCUCUUCAUAGGUAAAUAAUCUGAUUUCAUUUCCUCGGUAAAAAGCUAUUCUAUAGGCUAGCCAUAUGCUUCUCAUCCUAUAUCGGAACCCUUACUGCUGCCUUCCACGCGGGUGCGCAGCCCUCCAUUGGAUGGCAAAAGAACCAGGACAAAUUUCCUCGCAUUGAAAAGUGGAACCCAUACGAUACUCUGGCAGUAUGUACGAGAAGGAGUCGGUUGCUAUCUUUGGUUAUCUAGCUGUAUGAGUGUUACUCGGCCGUCAUAAAGCUAGCUAACCGAAAGUAGGAAUGUCCUCCAAACCUGCGACUCGGACAGGAAUAAAUGGUGUCUGGGAGUAAAGACACAUAACAUAAUUGAUAUGCAAUUACAGGCCAAUACCUCAGUGCCUUUCCGGUUGAUCCAGUGCCCUUGUCACUGCAGUGGCUGCCUGAGAUACACACAGAAACUCUGCAGUGUGAACAGCACACGCUGUCUACUAUAUGUGACUGCCAGCCAUUCACACCAGGUCUGGAUUGAGCGAGGGGAAAGUGGCACAGUCGUCACAAAAAAAGGAAAAAGCAGGAGGGGAAGAAAAAGGCCAACCCCCUUGUCCCUCUUCCCUUAAAUCUCCAUCACCGGAAGCCUUUGGUGCCAUCUGUGCCCCCGGAGAAAAGGACGGGCGAGAUGCCUCCACCCUGUGCCAACGGGGACAAAGGAGCUGCCAGUUAGAGCGGCCCCCCUCGCAGGCAGCCAGAGGACUCUGUGUGACUGACUGGGGCUGAGCUACGGAAGCCAUCUUGAUGGAGAGUCUUGCUGCUGCUCCUAAAAUGGCUGUGUUGGCAUGAGGUCCUGCUGGUGUUGACAACCUCCAGAGGAAGCCUCUUCCACCAGCCCUGAGCCCUUGGCCCUGAGUCCUGGGCCCUGAGUCCUGGGCCCUGAGUCCUGGGCCCUGGGCCCUGGCAGUCGGUCUAGAAGCACCAAUGGGAAUAGCAUAUCAGAUCCCAGGAUGUCAUGCAAGGCCUUCCUCAUUGGCAUCCUCUCCAGUCAAACACUGAGAAAUGAGGGCACUGAAGAAUCCCCCCUAAAGUUAAUGUUUGGAUAGAUUUACUGUAAGGACAAUGUUUGGAGUUAUUUGAAGACAUUGCUUGCAGGAGUUGCACAUGGAUUAUCUGCAGAUAUAUUGCACUUGGGUAAUCAAUGUUCCCCAGCUGAGAGUGAGUGUAUAGUUUCAACAUCAUUUUUAACAUUACAGCAAAAUGUAAAACAAUGUGUGUAUGAUGUUAAAUCAAAAGGGAUGUGAUCAACUUGUGUUCAUUCCUUAAUUUAAGGACGUGUGUGUGUGUGUGUGUGUGUGUGUGUGUGUGUGUGUGUGUGUGUGUGUGUGUGUGUGUGUGUGUGUGUGUGUGUGUGUGUGUGUGUGUGUGUGUGUGUGUGUGGUUUGGUCCCUAUUGUACUCUGUAGAGUACUCUGGAGUGUACUGGGCUUCAGAGAAGCACUACAGUGCCCUAAUGUGUGGGCUGUUUACAAGAGAAGCUCUCUGGAUGUCUAUCCUCUGUCAUGUGCAAUUAGUUACUUUAUGAAUAGAACUGACUACUCUAUGCAAAUAAAUGUGAAUGACUCACCCUCUGGCUGUAUUGCAAAUGUUGUUUAAUGUUUGACUGUCACAGUGAAAAGAAAGACAUUGUUUGGUGAAGAUUCCAUCCAUUUACUGUAUAUCCAUCAAAUGCUGCAUUUUUCCUAUUACAAAUAUUAUCUGCAUGUGUUCAUAGUGAUCAGGGAAUGUUCAACAUGAAAUGUGUUGGAUACAUUAUUGAAGCAGUCAGAUUAAUAGCCGUCUCAUUGCCUGAUUAUUACUAUUAUCCUUAUUCAGAGAGAUAGACAGUACAUACCUGCAGUAAAGAAAGGGACACAUACUUGUACACUAACAUCAUGCAAAGCAUGUUUUUGUAAUUGAGUUCUGACUUGUCAUGACUUCUGUGCUGUUGAAUUGAAUGUGUAUACAGAAUAAAUAAUUCAACAGAUGUCUAAAAGAUUCAAGUGUUUUUUAUUGGAAAUACAGAAAUGAUUGAUAUUGAAGUUUAUAUGUCUGCAUUUAGACAGGCAGCCCAAUUCUGAUUUUUUUUAACCAAUCACAUCGGAUCAUUUCACAUCAGAUCUUUU
RNAcentral lists this long non-coding RNA (2441 nucleotides) under Salmo salar (Atlantic salmon). RNAcentral describes it as "lncRNA (ENSSSAG00000089874.1)". The stretch from base 516 to 593 matches the Rfam family "mir-9/mir-79 microRNA precursor family". Lineage: Eukaryota; Metazoa; Chordata; Actinopteri; Salmoniformes; Salmonidae. The record is from RNAcentral.